GGUUAAGUUAGAAAGGGCGCACGGUGAAUGCCUUGGCACUAGGAGCCGAAGAAGGACGCGACGAACGGCGAAACGCCUCGGGGAGCUGUAAGUAAGCUUUGAACCGGGGAUAUCCGAAUGGGGGAACCCAUCAUCCGUAAUGGGAUGAUACCCGUAUCUGAAUCCAUAGGAUACGAGGAGGCAGACCUGGGGAACUGAAACAUCUAAGUACCCAGAGGAAGAGAAAGCAAAUGCGAUUUCCCGAGUAGCGGCGAGCGAAACGGAAACAGCCCAAACCAAGAGGCUUGCCUCUUGGGGUUGUAGGACGUCUCAUAUGGAGUCAAAAAAGAAGAGCAUAAGUGAAGCGAUCUGGAAAGAUCCAUCAGAGAGGGUAACAAUCCCGUAGCUGAAAUGCCCUUCUCUCCGAGACGGAUCCUGAGUACGGCGGGACACGUGAAACCCCGUCGGAAUCCGGGAGGACCAUCUCCCAAGGCUAAAUACUCCCUAGUGACCGAUAGUGAACCAGUACCGUGAGGGAAAGGUGAAAAGCACCCCGGGAGGGGAGUGAAAGAGAUCCUGAAACCGUGUGCCUACAACUAGUUGGAGCCCGUUAAUGGGUGACAGCGUGCCUUUUGUAGAAUGAACCGGCGAGUUACGAUAUGUUGCAAGGUUAAGCUGAUGAGGCGGAGCCGUAGCGAAAGCGAGUCUGAAUAGGGCGCAUCAGUAGCAUGUCGUAGACCCGAAACCGUGUGAUCUACCCAUGUCCAGGGUGAAGUUCAGGUAACACUGAAUGGAGGCCCGAACCCACGCACGUUGAAAAGUGCGGGGAUGAGGUGUGGGUAGGGGUGAAAUGCCAAUCGAACUCGGAAAUAGCUGGUUCUCCCCGAAAUAGCUUUAGGGCUAGCCUCGAGGGAAGAGUGUUGGAGGUAGAGCACUGAUUGGACUAGGGGUCCCCACAGGAUUACCGAAUUCAGUCAAACUCCGAAUGCCAAUCACUUAUCCUCGGGAGUCAGACUGCGAGUGCUAAGAUCCGUAGUCAAGAGGGAAACAGCCCAGACCAUCAGCUAAGGUCCCCAAGUAUACGUUAAGUGGAAAAGGAUGUGGAGUUGCCCAGACAACCAGGAUGUUGGCUUAGAAGCAGCCACCAUUUAAAGAGUGCGUAAUAGCUCACUGGUCGAGUGACUCUGCGCCGAAAAUGUACCGGGGCUAAACGUAUCACCGAAGCUAUGGACUCGCACCGUAUGGUGUCAGUGGUAGGGGAGCGUUCUGCGUGCAGCGAAGUCAGACCGAGAGGACUGGUGGAGCGCGCAGAAGUGAGAAUGCCGGUAUGAGUAGCGAAUGAGGGGUGAGAAUCCCCUCCGUCGAAAGCCCAAGGUUUCCUGAGGAAGGCUCGUCCGCUCAGGGUCAGUCGGGACCUAAGCCGAGGCCGAAAGGCGUAGGCGAUGGACAACAGGUAGACAUUCCUGUACCACCUCCUCACCGUUUGAGCAAUGGGGGGACGCAGAAAGGUAGGGUAAGCGCGGCGAUGGAAUGCCGCGUCCAAGCAGGUAGGCUGGAAAGUAGGCAAAUCCGCUUUCCGUAAGGCUGAGCUGUGAUGGCGAGGGAAAUUUAGUACCGAAGUUCCUGAUCCUACACUGCCAAGAAAAGCCUCUAGCGAGGUGUGAGGUGCCCGUACCGCAAACCGACACAGGUAGGCGAGAAGAGAAUUCUAAGACGCUCGGGAGAACUCUCGUUAAGGAACUCGGCAAAAUGACCCCGUAACUUCGGGAGAAGGGGUGCUCUGAUAGGGUGCAAGCCCGAGAGAGCCGCAGUGAAAAGAUCCAAGCGACUGUUUAGCAAAAACACAGGUCUCUGCGAAGCCGCAAGGCGAAGUAUAGGGGCUGACACCUGCCCGGUGCUGGAAGGUUAAGAGGAGGGGUUAUCCCUUUUGGGAGAAGCUCUGAAUUGAAGCCCCAGUAAACGGCGGCCGUAACUAUAACGGUCCUAAGGUAGCGAAAUUCCUUGUCGGGUAAGUUCCGACCCGCACGAAUGGUGUAACGAUUUGGAUACUGUCUCAACGAGAGACCCGGUGAAAUUAUAGUACCUGUGAAGAUGCAGGUUACCCGCGACAGGACGGAAAGACCCCAUGGAGCUUUACUGUAGCUUGAUAUUGGAUGUUGGUACAGUUUGUACAGGAUAGGUAGGAGCCAGAGAAGUCGGAGCGCCAGCUUCGAUGGAGGCGUCGGUGGGAUACUACCCUGACUGUGCUGACAUUCUAACCUCGA
RNAcentral lists this ribosomal RNA (2243 nucleotides) under Halalkalibacter oceani. RNAcentral describes it as "Bacterial large subunit ribosomal RNA". It matches the Rfam family "Bacterial large subunit ribosomal RNA", at positions 1 to 2231 of the family's 2925-position model. Lineage: Bacteria; Bacillati; Bacillota; Bacilli; Caryophanales; Bacillaceae. The record is from Rfam by way of RNAcentral.